RNAcentral lists this unclassified non-coding RNA (235 nucleotides) under Helotiales sp. RNAcentral describes it as "partial contains 5.8S ribosomal RNA, internal transcribed spacer 2, and large subunit ribosomal RNA". Lineage: Eukaryota; Fungi; Ascomycota; Leotiomycetes; Helotiales. The record is from RNAcentral.
CGCACAUUGCGCCCUUUGGUAUUCCGAGGGGCAUGCCUGUUCGAGCGUCAUUUCAACCCUCAAGCUCAGCUUGGUCUUGGGCGCUGCCGGUCACGGCUGGCCCUAAAAUCAGUGGCGAGGUCCUUGAGCUCUACGCGUAGUAGUACAUCUCGCGAUUGAGUUAUCGGGGACGUUAGCCUGAACAAUUUUUUUUGUGGUUGACCUCGGAUCAGGUAGGGAUACCCGCUGAACUUAA